GCUUUGGUAGCUUCACACUGAGAGGAAGCGAAGGGAUGAGAAAAGGACACUUGCUUGCUGGUCCAAAGAACUUUUAUUCCCCCAUGCAUGGCCAGAGGGAUGCUCUCUGGACUGCAUGCAGUGCAAAAUGUCGACGGGACAAAGGAAUGCAUUAGAUUAAGCAGGGGGUGGGGGGACAGGGAUGGAAACCUCCUUCGCCCAAUAGGGAUAAACAACAGGGGAGUGACAUGGAUUAUAACAACCUAUGGGAACAUAACAGAGACUUACCAGCUUUUUAGAUCAAAAGUCCUACAGAAUAAGGAAUCUGAAUGGAUGAUUUUAGAAAUUGGACUGCGGAAUAGAACUAAAAAAAAAACCUCAAACCACAAACCAAUGUCAGUAGCUCUUCUGAGACAUUAAGGUGCCUGUCUCUCACAAGGGAUCCUUCAUGUACAGUCAAGCUCACAAAUAGCUUCAUGGGAUAUGGUACAUUAAACUGAAAAA
Long non-coding RNA from Vidua macroura (Pin-tailed whydah), 483 nucleotides. RefSeq lists it as uncharacterized. The transcript is spliced from 3 exons. Lineage: Eukaryota; Metazoa; Chordata; Aves; Passeriformes; Viduidae. The record is from RefSeq and is a predicted model, not a curated record.